Molecule: ribosomal RNA, 253 nt
Filed under: uncultured bacterium
Lineage: Bacteria
Description: partial 16S ribosomal RNA
Rfam family: Bacterial small subunit ribosomal RNA
Source: RNAcentral
AACGUAGGACGCAAGCGUUAUCCGGAGUUACUGGGCGUAAAGCGCGGGCAGGCGGUCUGGCAAGUUCGAUGUGAAAUCUCUCAGCUCAACUGGGAGCAGCUAUUGAAAACUACCUGACUAGAGGACAGCAGAGGUAAGCGGAAUUCCGGGUGGAGCGGUGAAAUGCGUAGAGAUCCGGAGGAACACCAGAGGCGAAGGCGGCUUACUGGGCUGACCCUGAUGCUGAGCCGCGAAAGCCAGGGGAGCGAACGGG